This 461-nucleotide long non-coding RNA is filed under the name Crocodylus porosus (Australian saltwater crocodile). RNAcentral's name for it is "lncRNA (ENSCPRG00005003253.1)". Lineage: Eukaryota; Metazoa; Chordata; Crocodylia; Crocodylidae. The record is from RNAcentral.
ACAUGUGUCUCCUUUAGGGGAGACUUGGCAGGGCCGGGGCCUGUGAGCAGGAACGGCGUGAUGGAGAGCAUUAGGAAUUUCCUGCAGCUGGAGAACACACCAAAUACCAGAGCGCGGGAGAGAGCGCCGAGCGAGCAGGAGCCGGAGCCGGCGGGCGGGGGAGGAGGCCAUGUCCAAUAAUCGUUAAUGAAAGCAGAAUGGGAGCUCGGUCGCCUGCCAGCCCAUCGGCCUGGAGAACGGAGCCAGCCCGCCCGCCGAAUGGUUCCAGCGCGCCCAGGGCUCCGGACCGCGCCAGCCCGGCAGCGAGGCGGAGGGCGGCGAGAGGAGCUUCAAAGUGAACCUGUAUUGCAAGCACUCGAGGCCAAGGGAGCUCAAGUGCAACAGCCGCAGCGGCAAAGCCGAGGGUCCCUGCAUCGGCUUCCCCGACUCCCAUGUCAGCAACUGCUCGGCUAAGCGGCACC